ACGACCAUAGAGCGUUGGAACCACCUGAUCCCAUCCCGAACUCAGUAGUGAAACGACGCAUCGCCGAUGGUAGUGUGGAGCUUCUCCAUGUGAGAGUAGGUCAUCGUCAAGC
This 112-nucleotide ribosomal RNA is filed under the name Pseudomonas sp. PA15(2017). Lineage: Bacteria; Pseudomonadati; Pseudomonadota; Gammaproteobacteria; Pseudomonadales; Pseudomonadaceae. The record is from RNAcentral.